Molecule: small RNA, 28 nt
Filed under: Bombyx mori (domestic silkworm)
Lineage: Eukaryota; Metazoa; Arthropoda; Insecta; Lepidoptera; Bombycidae
Description: ovarian small RNA-35846
Source: RNAcentral
UGUCUUCGAGAGGGUAUGCCUCAGGCCA